Molecule: long non-coding RNA, 363 nt
Filed under: Vigna radiata
Lineage: Eukaryota; Viridiplantae; Streptophyta; Magnoliopsida; Fabales; Fabaceae
Description: long non-coding RNA (VRAD_LNC006253)
Source: RNAcentral
AUAAAUUGGAUUUUGAGGAUAAAAAUAUUAACAUGCAAAAUAAAUGUUGAUUCAAUUGACAAGUGAAAACAAUGGAUGGAUGGAUAUUGUUGGGUACUAACAAUUAAUUCUAUUCCACUCUCUCUUACACACUACCCUUGAUUAUUAGAUUGAUUAAAUUGUUAUGCAACUUUCUUAGCCUCCCCUUAACCCAAUCCCUCGGCGAAAAGGGCCUAAUAUCAAUUACCGGCUUGCUAUCCCUAGCCUCCCCUAGUAAUUAAUACCGCAUUAUAAACAGAAGUUAGCACAAUUGAUCGUCCUACCCCUAUCCCUAGGUGGUAUUGCAAAAUCAAGAGAUUACUCACCAGUUCAUGUCACUACCAC